RNAcentral lists this transfer RNA (72 nucleotides) under Nitriliruptorales bacterium. It matches the Rfam family "tRNA". Rfam says of the family: Transfer RNA (tRNA) molecules are approximately 80 nucleotides in length. RNAcentral also lists the same sequence under 2 other names. The record is from Rfam by way of RNAcentral. Lineage: Bacteria; Bacillati; Actinomycetota; Nitriliruptoria; Nitriliruptorales.
GGGCGAUUAGCUCAGGGGGAGAGCGCUUCCUUGACACGGAAGAGGUCAGAGGUUCAAAUCCUCUAUCGCCCA